GACGAACGCUGGCGGCGUGCUUAACACAUGCAAGUCGAGCGGUAAGGCCCUUUCGGGGUACACGAGCGGCGAACGGGUGAGUAGCACGUGGGUGACCUGCCCUCAGCUCUGGGAUAAGCCCGGGAAACUGGGUCUAAUACCGGAUAUGACUUCAUGACGCAUGUUGUGGAGUGGAAAGCCUUGUGCGGCUGAGGAUGGGCCCGCGGCCUAUCAGCUUGUUGGUGGGGUGAUGGCCUACCAAGGCGACGACGGGUAGCCGGCCUGAGAGGGCGACCGGCCACACUGGGACUGAGAUACGGCCCAGACUCCUACGGGAGGCAGCAGUGGGGAAUCUUGCGCAAUGGGCGAAAGCCUGACGCAGCGACGCCG
This 369-nucleotide ribosomal RNA is filed under the name uncultured bacterium. RNAcentral's name for it is "bacterial SSU rRNA". It matches the Rfam family "Bacterial small subunit ribosomal RNA", at positions 28 to 399 of the family's 1533-position model. The record is from RNAcentral.